RNAcentral lists this ribosomal RNA (341 nucleotides) under Salmonella enterica subsp. enterica serovar Kentucky. Its description in RNAcentral is "partial 23S ribosomal RNA". It matches the Rfam family "Bacterial large subunit ribosomal RNA", at positions 769 to 1107 of the family's 2925-position model. Lineage: Bacteria; Pseudomonadati; Pseudomonadota; Gammaproteobacteria; Enterobacterales; Enterobacteriaceae. The record is from RNAcentral.
GAGGACCGAACCGACUAAUGUUGAAAAAUUAGCGGAUGACCUGUGGCUGGGGGUGAAAGGCCAAUCAAACCGGGAGAUAGCUGGUUCUCCCCGAAAGCUAUUUAGGUAGCGCCUCGUGAAUUCAUCUCCGGGGGUAGAGCACUGUUUCGGCUAGGGGGCCAUCCCGGCUUACCAACCCGAUGCAAACUGCGAAUACCGGAGAAUGUUAUCACGGGAGACACACGGCGGGUGCUAACGUCCGUCGUGAAGAGGGAAACAACCCAGACCGCCAGCUAAGGUCCCAAAGUCAUGGUUAAGUGGGAAACGAUGUGGGAAGGCCCAGACAGCCAGGAUGUUGGCUU